AUUGAACGCUGGCGGCAGGCCUAACACAUGCAAGUCGAACGGUAACAGGAAGCAGCUUGCUGCUUCGCUGACGAGUGGCGGACGGGUGAGUAAUGUCUGGGAAACUGCCUGAUGGAGGGGGAUAACUACUGGAAACGGUAGCUAAUACCGCAUAACGUCGCAAGACCAAAGAGGGGGACCUUCGGGCCUCUUGCCAUCAGAUGUGCCCAGAUGGGAUUAGCUUGUUGGUGGGGUAACGGCUCACCAAGGCGACGAUCCCUAGCUGGUCUGAGAGGAUGACCAGCCACACUGGAACUGAGACACGGUCCAGACUCCUACGGGAGGCAGCAGUGGGGAAUAUUGCACAAUGGGCGCAAGCCUGAUGCAGCCAUGCCGCGUGUAUGAAGAAGGCCUUCGGGUUGUAAAGUACUUUCAGCGGGGAGGAAGGUGCUGUGGUUAAUAACCACAACAAUUGACGUUACCCGCAGAAGAAGCACCGGCUAACUCCGUGCCAGCAGCCGCGGUAAUACGGAGGGUGCAAGCGUUAAUCGGAAUUACUGGGCGUAAAGCGCACGCAGGCGGUCUGUUAAGUCAGAUGUGAAAUCCCCGGGCUCAACCUGGGAACUGCAUCUGAUACUGGCAGGCUUGAGUCUCGUAGAGGGGGGUAGAAUUCCAGGUGUAGCGGUGAAAUGCGUAGAGAUCUGGAGGAAUACCGGUGGCGAAGGCGGCCCCCUGGACGAAGACUGACGCUCAGGUGCGAAAGCGUGGGGAGCAAACAGG
Molecule: ribosomal RNA, 759 nt
Filed under: uncultured Enterobacteriaceae bacterium
Lineage: Bacteria; Pseudomonadati; Pseudomonadota; Gammaproteobacteria; Enterobacterales; Enterobacteriaceae
Description: bacterial SSU rRNA
Rfam family: Bacterial small subunit ribosomal RNA
Source: RNAcentral